CCCGUGCCCUCUUGGUUCCGGGACCCCUCAGGAUGGCCGCCCCCGCGCCGCAUGGCCGGAUGAGUAGAACCAGGCACUAGCCAACUCCCGCCUUCUGGACCUGUGGGUAGUAGCUUCAGUCCCAGGGGCGAGGGUCUACGCCGUUGGCCCCAGAAGGGGCAGUUCUCCGUUUUGGGGCUAGGGGGUCCUGCUCCCGGUCCUCGGACCACUCGACCCCCUCGUGGUAGGCCACUACUACUUCUGUAUCUCUCUCUGGCGCUGAAUCCAGCACCUCCUUUUCUGAGCUCCAGAUGCUGCCACCCACCUCGGGUACUGUUGGGGGAAAGGGCCAGGCCUUUCUUUCCAAAGGCCCUUCCCUGAUUUCCUCUUUCCCUUCCUUUACAUUCUUAAGCCAAGCCUCAUUAAAAUGGCCUCUCCCUCCCGGGCUUCUUGAGACCCGGGUGGGAUUAAGUCUGGAUGGGGCGGGAAGGAGAGGUAGUCAAGGACAACCUUUUUCUGACUUCCUCUGAUUUCUCUGGGUUUUACCAUUCUCCCAAGAUGACUUCCUCCUAGUCCUGUAAUUACCAUUUAGCUUCCUGGUUUUAGCUGUUACAGGACCCACCUAUAAACUGAGAAUGUGUGCGCCCGGAGGGGAGGUUUUGGCUGACAGCUGUGUAUCUGUAUAUACAGGAGAAAUCCGAAUUAUGGGGUUGUUGGUAUGAACAGGCUCCCUUUUGGCCUGUCUCUGGAACUCCUGGAGUAGAGGUGCCUAGUGUAUUAAUGAUUGUUGAAAUUCAGAACUGGAUUGGGUGGGCUUUGAGUUUUCUUUGGUAGAUUUUGAGAAGCAGCUGUUAGGUGUGUCCACUGUGGGAAGGGUGAACUAGUUUAAAACUAACUUUAUGUGCUCUUUUAAAAUUUUAAAAAAAAGUUACUCUUUAGGGGAGAGUGUGUCAGGGGUGUAUCUAUUCUCUCACUUUAUUACUUUAUUUUGUUCUUUUCCCAGUCAUAGAAACUUUUUACUUACAGGAAGUGGCAAGGAAAAAAAAAAGUUUUUGGAACGUUACAUAUUUGUAUGUCUGAGCAUUCUUAGAAUAGCAGAGUGACUUUUCUGGGACCAUGUUGAAAGUUGUUUUCAGUACAUGAAUUGGACAUUCUGGUUUCUGAUGCAGUUGGCUUAAAUGAGGACAGAUGUGUACAAAAGCCAAAACUCGACCUAGGGCCAUGUGGAUGGAAACCAUGGUUGUAGAUAUUUUCAAAAAGGAACUGAAUCAGGUGAAGAUAUGUAGAAGAAAGGUAUGUAGCAAAUUUAGGUUGUUUAAUGUUUCUGAGCCUGCGAGAGGUAGCCCCAGAAAUAGUGUUGGAAGCUGUGUAGUUUUCAGGUAAUAAAAUCAUAACCAGAGCCUGUUAUAGCAAGGACGGUAGUGAAUAUAACUAAGGAAUGGACAAGGUAAAUCUGGACUAAAUUAUGUCUGUGAGUAUUAGAAUAUUUUUUUUUCACUUAUCUUCUGCAGGGAAUCAUAUAUUUCAUAUAUAAUCAGGGCUCAGUCAGAUAACCCAUGUUUAAAGGAUUAGGGCAGUUUCUAAGCUUCAUUUGAGUCUUCUGUGGUUUGGGGACAUUUUUUAAGCUUUUGUUAAAAAUAACUUGUAGAUACCUUGAAGGAAAUAAAUUGCCUGACUUUA
This is a long non-coding RNA of Dama dama (fallow deer), 1659 nucleotides long. RefSeq lists it as uncharacterized. The record is from RefSeq and is a predicted model, not a curated record. Lineage: Eukaryota; Metazoa; Chordata; Mammalia; Artiodactyla; Cervidae. The transcript has 2 exons.